This 254-nucleotide ribosomal RNA is filed under the name uncultured bacterium. RNAcentral's name for it is "partial 16S ribosomal RNA". It matches the Rfam family "Bacterial small subunit ribosomal RNA", at positions 524 to 776 of the family's 1533-position model. The record is from RNAcentral.
UACGUAGGGUGCGAGCGUUAAUCGGAAUUACUGGGCGUAAAGCGUGCGCAGGCGGUUAUUUAAGUCAGGUGUGAAAGCCCUGGGCUUAACCUAGGAAUUGCGCUUGAGACUGGAUAGCUUGGAGUGCGGCAGAGGGAGGUGGAAUUCCACGUGUAGCAGUGAAAUGCGUAGAGAUGUGGAGGAACACCGAUGGCGAAGGCAGCCUCCUGGGCCAGCACUGACGCUCAUGCACGAAAGCGUGGGGGGCAAACAGG